AUUUUUGUAGUUGAUUACAACGGUGGUUUUUCAGAUCACAAGUCUCUUUGGAGCAAAAAUA
RNAcentral lists this transfer RNA (61 nucleotides) under Pseudagkistrodon rudis (Red keelback). RNAcentral's name for it is "tRNA-Glu". Lineage: Eukaryota; Metazoa; Chordata; Lepidosauria; Squamata; Natricidae. The record is from RNAcentral.